UACGUAGGUGACAAGCGUUAUCCGGAUUUAUUGGGCGUAAAGCGCACGCAGGCGGUCUAUCAAGUCUGACGUGAAAUCUCUCGGCUUAACCGGGAGCGGUCGUUGGAAACUGAAAGACUUGAGUGCAGAAGAGGAGAGUGGAAUUCCACGUGUAGCGGUGAAAUGCGUAGAUAUGUGGAGGAACACCAGUGGCGAAGGCGACUCUCUGGUCUGUAACUGACGCUGAGGCGCGAAAGCGUGGGGAGCAAACAGG
RNAcentral lists this ribosomal RNA (253 nucleotides) under uncultured bacterium. RNAcentral describes it as "partial 16S ribosomal RNA". It matches the Rfam family "Bacterial small subunit ribosomal RNA", at positions 524 to 776 of the family's 1533-position model. The record is from RNAcentral.